AGGGAUAUUGGUCAAUGGGGGAAACCCUGAACCAGCAACGCCGCGUGAGGGAAGACGGUUUUCGGAUUGUAAACCUCUGUCCUCUGUGAAGAUAAUGACGGUAGCAGAGGAGGAAGCUCCGGCUAACUACGUGCCAGCAGCCGCAGUAAUACGUAGGUGGCAAGCGUUGUCCGGAAUUACUGGGUGUAAAGGGAGCGUAGGCGGGAAGACAAGUUGAAUGUUUAAACUAUCGGCUCAACCGAUAAUCGCGUUCAAAACUGUUUUUCUUGAGUGAAGUAGAGGCAGGCGGAAUUCCUAGUGUAGCGGUGAAAUGCGUAGAUAUUAGGAGGAACACCAGUGGCGAAGGCGGCCUGCUGGGCUUUAACUGACGCUGAGGCUCGAAAGCGUGGGUAGCAAACAGG
This 401-nucleotide ribosomal RNA is filed under the name uncultured bacterium. Its description in RNAcentral is "bacterial SSU rRNA". It matches the Rfam family "Bacterial small subunit ribosomal RNA", at positions 357 to 776 of the family's 1533-position model. The record is from RNAcentral.